UGGGGAAUUUUGGACAAUGGGCGAAAGCCUGAUCCAGCAAUGCCGCGUGUGUGAAGAAGGCCUUCGGGUUGUAAAGCACUUUUGUCCGGAAAGAAAUCCUUGGCUCUAAUACAGUCGGGGGAUGACGGUACCGGAAGAAUAAGCACCGGCUAACUACGUGCCAGCAGCCGCGGUAAUACGUAGGGUGCAAGCGUUAAUCGGAAUUACUGGGCGUAAAGCGUGCGCAGGCGGUUUGCUAAGACCGAUGUGAAAUCCCCGGGCUCAACCUGGGAACUGCAUUGGUGACUGGCAGGCUAGAGUAUGGCAGAGGGGGGUAGAAUUCCACGUGUAGCAGUGAAAUGCGUAGAGAUGUGGAGGAAUACCGAUGGCGAAGGCAGCCCCCUGGGCCAAUACUGACGCUCAUGCACGAAAGCGUGGGGAGCAAACAGGAUUAGAUACCCUGGUAGUCCACGCCCUAAACGAUGUCAACUAGUUGUUGGGGACUCAUUUCCUUAGUAACGUAGCUAACGCGUGAAGUUGACCGCCUGGGGAGUACGGUCGCAAGAUUAAAACUCAAAUGAAUUGACGGGGUCAUAGCUGUUUCCU
This 585-nucleotide ribosomal RNA is filed under the name uncultured bacterium. RNAcentral's name for it is "partial 16S ribosomal RNA". It matches the Rfam family "Bacterial small subunit ribosomal RNA", at positions 355 to 1375 of the family's 1533-position model. The record is from RNAcentral.